Molecule: ribosomal RNA, 433 nt
Filed under: uncultured bacterium
Lineage: Bacteria
Description: partial 16S ribosomal RNA
Rfam family: Bacterial small subunit ribosomal RNA
Source: RNAcentral
AACGAACGCUGGCGGCAUGCCUAACACAUGCAAGUCGAACGAGACCUUCGGGUCUAGUGGCGCACGGGUGCGUAACGCGGGGGAACCUGCCCUUAGGUUCGGAAUAACUCCCCGAAAGGGGUGCUAAUACCGGAUAAUGUCUUCGGACCAAAGAUUUAUCGCCUUUGGAUGGGCCCGCGUUGGAUUAGCUAGUUGGUAGGGUAAAAGCCUACCAAGGCGACGAUCCAUAGCUGGUCUGAGAGGAUGAUCAGCCACACUGGGACUGAGACACGGCCCAGACUCCUACGGGAGGCAGGAGUGGGGAAUAUUGGACAAUGGGCGAAAGCCUGAUCCAGCAAUGCCGCGUGAGUGAUGAAGGCCUUAGGGUUGUAAAGCUCUUUUACCCGGGAUGAUAAUGACAGUACCGGGAGAAUAAGCUCCGGCUAACUCCGUG